Long non-coding RNA from Alosa sapidissima (American shad), 1422 nucleotides. RefSeq lists it as uncharacterized. The transcript is spliced from 3 exons. The record is from RefSeq and is a predicted model, not a curated record. NCBI's taxonomy places the organism in Eukaryota, Metazoa, Chordata, Actinopteri, Clupeiformes, Clupeidae.
CUUCUUACGGGUAACCAACGUUACGGACGAGGAGUAUUUGUGAUGCACACCACACUACUCUGUGAAGUGCUCCUGACCUUCAGGAGGAACAAGGAUCAACUGGAGGUCAACCUGGGAAGAGGAUACUUGAAGCUGUUGCUGCCACUGAAUAGCGCAACCCUGUUAAAGGACUCGAGCUGGAAGUCAAGUGUGCUGAUCUUGGCAGACCUGUGCCACUGUGAGGUGUUGAGUGCGUCUUGGGAGGGCUGACAUCUCUUCACAGCAAGAACCUUGAUUGGUGCAGAGCUGAAGCAUCACACAUAAAGGAGUGCACAAUCACCUUUAGAGGUUUACCUCUGGUCACUCCAUAGACUCCUGAAAUUAACGUGUUAAACCCUCGCAGGGAUGACAAAAUCAGACAUUCAAAUGUUUGUUCUACACACUUUUGUCCUCUGUCUUUGAGUGGAUAUUCUUAUUACACCAUCCUGGUGUAAGUCAUACAGAAGGGGCUGUAUACUUGGAGGUUAAGUCAAGGUAUCAGGCACCUUUGACCAGCACUCAACAACCUCUUGACCACCUGUUGUAAUGGUAGAUUAGGCUUAGGUAAUAAAAGCAUGGAGAACAAGAAGUUUUCAAAAAUCUCUUGUGGAAGAAUGUGCUUCAGAACCACAGGCCCACUGUAAACUAUGAAUUGCCUUAGCUCUGUGGCCUUCCAUCUAUCUAUUUCUGUAAAUACAGGCGAUGCAACUUGCCAUUAUGUUAGUUAGCAAGUUAGCUCUGGUGUAGCAAAAAUCAAAGUGUGCAGCACUCGCGUAUCGGAGAUCACAGUAUCCGCUCGAAGGCAGAGGACAAAAGUGUUUAGAGCAAACGUUUGCAUUUCUGAUUUUGUCGUCACCGUGAGUUCAGGGAUAUGGGAUUAUCCCACCUGCUAUGUUAUUUUCAGUUAGUGAUCACUGUUGAUCUUGCAACAUGUACACCAACCGUGAUUUUGGUGUGUAGGCCAAAUAUGUUCCUCAUGGUUCUCUUUUUCACACACUCAAAACUAUUGUUCUUUUUCAAGUGUUCCAUUCAUUCACCUCUUUAUCAGAUGGCACAGGUGUGGAAGGUUGUAGAAUUCCGGGACAAAGCCACUGCCAUAGUGCCAGGUAGUUGGUUGGAGGAGGCAGGCGAUUUUUGGAACUGUUACUGGUCUGGCUCCUAUGACCACUGGCGGCUCCAAAAAUCCGUUUUGAACCACCUUCCACCAGGUCAAAACUGGGAUGUUUUUGAUGACGUGAGGGUCUUGGUAGGCUGUGGUAAGGAAACAUACUGCAUUAUUACUGCAGUUCCUAUGAGCACUGGCUGUUAUUUUCCCAUAGGAAAAAUCUCAAAAUCUCUAAGCAGCUCUGGAUGGUAUGCUGUCAAUAUGAUUAAUGCUAGAACUUUUGAAAAUGGGUAAACCAU